RNAcentral lists this ribosomal RNA (736 nucleotides) under Streptococcus anginosus. RNAcentral's name for it is "bacterial SSU rRNA". It matches the Rfam family "Bacterial small subunit ribosomal RNA", at positions 1 to 716 of the family's 1533-position model. The record is from RNAcentral. Lineage: Bacteria; Bacillati; Bacillota; Bacilli; Lactobacillales; Streptococcaceae.
AUGAGAGUUUGAUCCUGGCUCAGGACGAACGCUGGCGGCGUGCCUAAUACAUGCAAGUAGGACGCACAGUUUAUACCGUAGCUUGCUACACCAUAGACUGUGAGUUGCGAACGGGUGAGUAACGCGUAGGUAACCUACCUAUUAGAGGGGGAUAACUAUUGGAAACGAUAGCUAAUACCGCAUAACAGUAUGUAACACAUGUUAGAUGCUUGAAAGAUGCAAUUGCAUCGCUAGUAGAUGGACCUGCGUUGUAUUAGCUAGUAGGUAGGGUAAUGGCCUACCUAGGCAACGAUACAUAGCCGACCUGAGAGGGUGAUCGGCCACACUGGGACUGAGACACGGCCCAGACUCCUACGGGAGGCAGCAGUAGGGAAUCUUCGGCAAUGGGGGGAACCCUGACCGAGCAACGCCGCGUGAGUGAAGAAGGUUUUCGGAUCGUAAAGCUCUGUUGUUAAGGAAGAACGAGUGUGAGAAUGGAAAGUUCAUGCUGUGACGGUACUUAACCAGAAAGGGACGGCUAACUACGUGCCAGCAGCCGCGGUAAUACGUAGGUCCCGAGCGUUGUCCGGAUUUAUUGGGCGUAAAGCGAGCGCAGGCGGUUAGAAAAGUCUGAAGUGAAAGGCAGUGGCUCAACCAUUGUAGGCUUUGGAAACUGUUUAACUUGAGUGCAGAAGGGGAGAGUGGAAUUCCAUGUGUAGCGGUGAAAUGCGUAGAUAUAUGGAGGAACACCGGUGGC